Non-coding RNA from Elaeis guineensis (African oil palm), 1181 nucleotides. NCBI's taxonomy places the organism in Eukaryota, Viridiplantae, Streptophyta, Magnoliopsida, Arecales, Arecaceae. The record is from RefSeq and is a predicted model, not a curated record.
UUUCCCGAAAUGUCAAACCGCAACUCCCGUCUCCUCCCUCACGAUCCUUGCAACGCCAAAUCCUGCAAACGCCGGCACACGGAAUGGCGAGUCCCUCGCCGACGGCGGCGGCGCUGAAGGCGGUAACCCUAACCCACGUCCGGUACCGUAGGGGCGACUCGCUGGGUCACUUCCUGGCCUGGGUCUCCUUGAUCCCGGUGUUCAUAAGCUUGGGGGGAUUCGUGACCCACUUCCUCUUCCGGCGGGAGCUCCAGGGCUUGUGCUUCGCUCUGGGCCUCCUCGUGUCGCAGGUCCUCAGCGAGCUCAUCAAGACCUCCGUCCGCCAGUCCCGCCCGGCCACCUGCGCCGCCCUCGAGAUGUGCGACUCCCACGGCUGGCCCUCCUCCCACUCCCAGUACAUGUUCUUCUUCGCCACCUACCUCACCCUGCUCUGCUACAAAGGCGUCGUCGGCGUCUCCUCCCCCCGCUCCCGGCUCUUCUUCGCCGUCCUCCCCUGGCCUCCGGCGGUGCUCACCCUGUACUCCAGGGUUUACCUGGGCUACCACACCGUCGCCCAGGUUUUUGCGGGGGCGACGCUGGGGCUGGUGCUUGGGGUGGGGUGGUUCUGGAUCGUGAACGGUAUGCUUGUGGAGUAUUUCCCGGCGAUCGAGGAGAGUGCGAUAGGGAGGUUGUUGUACAUCAAGGACACGUCGCAUAUACGGGAUGUGCUCCAGUUUGAGUAUGAUAAUUCGAGGGCUGCUCGGAAGAAGCUGGCUCAAGAUUGAAGUUUAUAUGCAUUCUGCAGGUGGAAUCUUAUCCUAUAAAAAUCCAAUGCUUCUAUUUGUUUGGAGACCAUGCUUGGGGCCUGCCCUUAAAUGUGUUACUCUAUCUGAUGAAAUACCUAUUCGUGAUAAGGAGCAUGGUCUAAUCUAGCUAAUGCAGCAGUCUUGGCACGGAGCUAGUGCUGUAGACAAAGCCAAGUAUUUACAGGCACGCAGAAGAGAGCUGGGAAUUUGUGUCUAUGUAUCAGGAUCUUGUGACUGGUAGUUCAAACAGCUUUGAUUUGUUAUUAUUUAUGACUGUAUGCUCAUAUGGUCAAACACACCGUUACAAUUAUUAAACUUUGUAGUCCACAUUUAAGGACUGUCCUUUGGUUCACAUAUUACAUUAUGUUUCAUUAUAUUCAUUGAUCUUUACUGGAA